This 23-nucleotide unclassified non-coding RNA is filed under the name Trypanosoma melophagium. The record is from RNAcentral. Lineage: Eukaryota; Euglenozoa; Kinetoplastea; Trypanosomatida; Trypanosomatidae.
CCCUCCUUUUUUUUUACUUUUUU